UUGGAGUGUUUAAACUAUUCGCAUUUAGCGUAAUUACUAAUAUGGUUGGAUUUACAUGUCCUUUUUUUUUUUUUCUUUUGACAGAGUUUGGCUCUUGUCACCCAGGCUGGAGUGCAGUGGCGCAAUCUUGGCUCACUGCAACCUCCACCUCUUGGGUUCAAGCAAUUCUCCUGACCUCAGGUGAUCUGCCGCCUUGGCCUCCCAAGUGCUGGGAUUAUAGGCGUGAGCCACCCCACCCGGCCUUGCUAUUAGUUUUCUAUGUCUUAUGUCUUUUUUGUUUCUCGUUUCCUCCCAUAAUGACUUCUUUUGAGGUAAACACAUACUGUUCUAAUAUACUCUUAAUUCCUCUGAUUUCAUUAAUAUUUUUCACCUUUUAGUUAUUUGAUUGGAUGCUGGACAUUGUGAAUUUUACUUUGUUGAGUAGGUUUUUGGAAUUCCGUGUUUCUGGGAUUUGUUCUGGGAUGCAGUGAAAUUACUUGGCAUCUAUUUGAUCCUUUCAAGGAUCAAAGCAAGUCUGGAGUUGGGUGGUGGCCAGGAUGCCCAGGCCCAGGGGGAGCAGGCAGGAAGGAUUGGAAGGCAGUCAGGUGAGGACUGCAGGUAGCCUCUCUUGGUCCCUUGGGGCACAGAACUUGCUGAUAUAUACAAGGUUUCCUUCCUUAGAGUGUAAUAACAGUUUCUAGUCUGGGUUCGGAUCCUUUUGCAUUAGUGAGCUUUGAAUAGAGUUGCUGGGAUUUUUGUACUAUUAAUAUUCUCUCAAAUUUUUAAGUUUGAAAUUCUUGACUCCAGGAAGCAUAGCAUCUCACCCAGGACUUAGAGCCUGAUACAACAGCCAUGUACAGCCCCUGGGUCCCACCUCAAGUUGCCAGGGCCCUGUGGUGUCUAUUCAGACCUGCUUUCCCAAUCUAGGUGGUGUGGGAAUGCAUGCCAAUUUCCAGCCCCCCUCCCUGCCCCUGGUCCCCGAAUUCAGUCAUGGUCAGUGUCUACAGCACAACCUUCUGGCAUGGGAGAAGGUCACCUGAGGUUAACCCUUUACUUGUAGGGUCCUUAAUCAAUCUCUGGCUCCUUUGGAACCAUGGACACGGAAUCAGUCCUGGGUGAGUGAGAACCUAUAUGUCAUUUCAGGAAUCGGUGAGUUUCAAGGAUGUGGCUGUGGACUUCACCCAGGAGGAGUGGGGUCAACUAGACUCCCCUCAGAGGGCCUUGUACCGGGAUGUGAUGUUGGAGAACUACCAGAACCUUCUUGCCCUAGGUAAAAUCCCGCCAGCCCCAGGCUGGGCGUCGGCUGUCAGCCUUCUUCUGCAUGGUAGAUAUUAAGGAGGAUCCCUUCAGUGCCGGCCCUGGUGCCAGAUAUAUCAUGGGGUAGGAAGCAAGGCCUGUGCCUUGGGGCACUCAUGGCCAGGGGCCUCGGCCACGCCAGAAGUCCCCAGGGGACAGCGUGGGAGCUGGUAGCAUCCUUGCUUGGUGUUUCCCCUGGUCCUGGGAUGGGGGCAGGGAGAGAAGAGAAGAAGGUGGGACCCUGGAGCCCAGCUGGCUCUGGAACGGUCCUCGAGCAAUGAAGUAAGGACGUCAGCACACGUGGGGUCUUCAGAGUAUACACUGGGAUUUGGGUUCCAGUCUGAGACCCUCACCGCUUUUGGCCCAGAGGACCUCCUGUUCCCAGAGCGGGUGUCCACUUCACAGGCAUUGUCCUUGUUAGGGGGCGGCCUGUAAGGUCGACUGGGCCUGGAGAGCUGCAGCAUGCCCAGCCCACUUUCUCUCCACGAGCAGGACCUCCACUGCACAAGCCAGAUGUGAUCUCUCAUCUGGAACGAGGCGAGGAGCCAUGGAGCAUGCAGAGGGAAGUCCCCAGAGGGCCCUGUCCAGAAUGGGAGCUGAAGGCGGUGCCCUCUCAACAGCAGGGCAUUUGCAAAGAAGAACCGGCCCAGGAGCCCAUCAUGGAGCGGCCCCUCGGCGGGGCGCAGGCGUGGGGGCGCCAGGCAGGUGCUCUGCAGAGGAGUCAGGCUGCGCCCUGGGCGCCCGCACCUGCCAUGGUCUGGGACGUCCCUGUAGAGGAAUUCCCCCUCAUGUGUCCCCUCUUCGCCCAGCAACGCGUUCCCGAGGGGGGACCCCUUGCUGGACACACGCAAGAACGUCCAGGCCACUGAGGGCAGAACCAAGGCCCCCGCGAGGACUGUGUGCAGGGGAAAACGCCUCCACGCCAAGUGAGCCAGAAAAGUUCCCCCAGGUGCGCCGGCAGCGCGGGGCGGGCGCCGGGAGGGCGAGUUCGUGUGCGGCGAGUGCGGGAAGGCGUUCCGCCAGAGCUCCUCCCUCAGCUGCACCGGCGCUGGCACAGCCGGGAGAAGGCUUACAAGUGCGAUGAAUGCGGCAAGGCCUUCACCCUGGAGCACCAACCUUCUGGAGCACCGGCGCAUCCACACCGGCGAGAAGCCCCUUCUUCUGCGGGCGAGUGCGGGAAGGCCUUCAGCUGCCACUCGUCCCUCAACGUGCACCAGCGCAUCCACACGGGCGAGCGGCCCUACAAGUGCAGCGCCUGCGAGAAGGCCUUCAGCUGCAGGCUCGCUGCUCAGCAUGCACCUGCGGUGCACACGCGCGAGAAGCCCUACCCGCGUGCGGCGAGUGCGGCAAGCCUUCAACCAGCGUACAACACUCACACGCCACCAUCCGCAUCCACACGGCGAGAAGCCCUACCAGUGCGGCUCCUGCUGCAAGGCCUUCACCUGCCACUCAUCCCUCACCCGUGCAUGAGAAGAUCCACAGCGGGGACAAAGCCGUUCAAGUGCAGCGACUGCGAGAAGGCCUUCAACAGCCGCUCGCGCCCUCACCCUCCCACCAGAGGACGCAACACGGGCGAGAAGCCCUUCAAGUGCGCCGACUGCGGAAGGGCUCAGCUGCCACGCGUACCUGCUCGUGCACCGGCGCAUCCACAGCGGCGAGAAGCCCUUCAAGUGCAACGAGUGCGGCAAAGGCCUUCACUCCCACGCCUACCUCAUCGUGGCACCGGCGCAUCCACCAAAGCGAGAAGCCCUUCGACUGCAGCCAGUGUUGGAAGGCCUUCAGCUGCCACUCGUCCCUCAUCGUGCACCAGCGCAUCCACACCGGUGAGAAGCCCUACAAGUGCAAGUGAGUGCGGCAGAGCCUUCAGCCAGAACCACUGUCUCAUUAAACAUCAGAAAAAUCCACCCGGGGAGAAGUCGUUUAAGUGUGGAGAAAUGUGGGGAGAUGUUCAACUGGAGCUCGCACCUCACUGAGCACCAGAGGCUGCACAGCCGAGGGGACGCCCUGCCAUCCAGUUCAACAAACACCUGCUUCAGACACAUACUACGUGCCUGGCAGCCUGCUGGGUGCAGGGGAUCUACUGGACUGAGGACGUGGGAUCCCAUCGACGCGUGGAUAGUGGGGCAAAGCUCUUGUGCGUUGGUUCCCCCCCGAGCUGGCAGGAUUUCUCCCUGGGGAAGCAAACCUCGAAAUAAUUAACAUUGAUGUGCUCUUGGUGUCAGUAGCACACUUCUCUGAGCUACUCAACCAAGAAGGCACCCUGAUCCUCCCUGGCUCCUAGAUCCAGACCCACCUUCCUUCCAGGUUGAGCCUUGCCCUUAUCACCCCAAUCAGGUCUGCAUGCCGGGUGCCUCCUCUAGUUAAAGUCGGUCACCUCCCCAGAAGGGCCACACUCCAGGAGGAGUGUUGAGAGUCAUGUGAGAUAGUCUUGCCACCUGUUUUCCUUGAUGGGCCUGGAAGUUGUUGACAAGGGGAAAGAUCUUUCUUGCCAAUAGAAAGAAGGGAUAGCGUUGGGUGCCAUGGCUCACACCUGUAAUCUUAACACUGUGGGAGGCCAAGGCAAGGGGAUCACUUGAGCCCAGGAGUCUAGGACCAGCCUGGACAACAUGGUGAGACCUCGUCUCUAC
Molecule: small RNA, 3902 nt
Filed under: Pan troglodytes (chimpanzee)
Lineage: Eukaryota; Metazoa; Chordata; Mammalia; Primates; Hominidae
Description: retained intron
Source: RNAcentral